Molecule: ribosomal RNA, 468 nt
Filed under: uncultured bacterium
Lineage: Bacteria
Description: partial 16S ribosomal RNA
Rfam family: Bacterial small subunit ribosomal RNA
Source: RNAcentral
GACGAACGCUGGCGGCGUGCUUAACACAUGCAAGUCGAACGGAAAGGCCCUGCUUUCGUGGGGUGCUCGAGUGGCGAACGGGUGAGUAACACGUGAGUAACCUGCCCUUGACUUUGGGAUAACUUCAGGAAACUGGGGCUAAUACCGGAUAGGAGCUCCUGCUGCAGGGUGAGGGUGGGAACGUUUCGGCGGCUGGGGAUGGACGCGCGGCUUAUCAGCUUGUUGGUGGGGUAGUGGCUUACCAAGCCAUUGACGGGUAGCCGGCCUGGGAGGGUGACCGGCCACAUUGGGACUGAGGUACGGCCCAGACUCCUACGGGAGGCAGCAGUGGGGAGUAUUGCACAGUGGGCGGGAGCCUGAUGCAGCAGCGCCGCGUGCGGGAUGACGGCCUUCGGGUUGUAAACCGCUUUCGCCUGUGACGAAGCGUGAGUGACGGUAAUGGGUAAAGAAGCACCGGCUAACUACGUG